RNAcentral lists this long non-coding RNA (389 nucleotides) under Coffea arabica (coffee). RNAcentral describes it as "long non-coding RNA (CARA_LNC004531)". Lineage: Eukaryota; Viridiplantae; Streptophyta; Magnoliopsida; Gentianales; Rubiaceae. The record is from RNAcentral.
UCUAAUUAGACACUUUUCCUCAACCGCAAGUACCUCUAAUCUAAUUGCUCUGCGUCAUCCCCUUCACCUCCACCCUAACAUUUUCCCUCUUCCACCACCGUCUCCGGCAUCGCUCUGCCACGCAUCUACCCAUCACCUCAGCAAUCGCGAACAAAGUGCAAGAUUCUCAAAUAUUUUGUAUAUAUUGAAGCCGUCUAGGGGAGGAUUCUCAAAUAUCUUUUACUGCUCAACUCAACGGUAAGCGCAUUUUCCUUUACAUUCAACGUUCUUCCUGCAUUAUAUUCGUCAAAUGAAGUUUUCUGUAACUUGAUGGUUCUGGACAUCCGACGAUUUGAAUUGUGUUGUGGGAUUUGGAUUAUGAUCGAUAUUUGUUUUUUUAUUUAAAGAAA